This 342-nucleotide unclassified non-coding RNA is filed under the name soil metagenome. Its description in RNAcentral is "partial contains 5.8S ribosomal RNA, internal transcribed spacer 2, and large subunit ribosomal RNA". The stretch from base 1 to 120 matches the Rfam family "5.8S ribosomal RNA", at positions 35 to 154 of the family's 154-position model. The record is from RNAcentral.
GAUGAAGAACGCAGCGAAAUGCGAUACGUAGUGUGAAUUGCAGAAUUCAGUGAAUCAUCGAAUCUUUGAACGCACAUUGCACCUCUCGGUAUUCCGGGAGGUAUGCCUGUUCGAGCGUCAUUUACACCCUCAAGCCUAGCUUGGUGUUGGGCGCCUGUCCCGCCGUUUUCGCGCGCGGACUCGCCUCAAAGUCAUUGGCGGCGGUCGUGCCGGCCCCCUCGCGCAGCACAUUUGCGCUUCUCGGAGGCCCGGCGGAUCCGCGCUCCAGCAAGACCUUUCACGACUUGACCUCGGAUCAGGUAGGGAUACCCGCUGAACUUAAGCAUAUCAAUAAGCGGAGGA